This 462-nucleotide ribosomal RNA is filed under the name uncultured bacterium. Its description in RNAcentral is "partial 16S ribosomal RNA". It matches the Rfam family "Bacterial small subunit ribosomal RNA", at positions 28 to 506 of the family's 1533-position model. The record is from RNAcentral.
GACGAACGCUGGCGGCGUGCUUAACACAUGCAAGUCGAGCGGUAAGGCCCUUCGGGGUACCCGAGCGGCGAACGGGUGAGUAACACGUGAGUAAUCUGCCCAUCACUUCGGGAUAACUCCGGGAAACCGGUGCUAAUACCGAAUAUGACCACUUCAGGCAUCUGAUGGUGGUGGAAAGUUCCGGCGGUGAUGGAUGAGCUCGCGGCCUAUCAGCUUGUUGGUGGGGUAGUGGCCUACCAAGGCUUCGACGGGUAGCCGGCCUGAGAGGGUGACCGGCCACACUGGGACUGAGACACGGCCCAGACUCCUACGGGAGGCAGCAGUGGGGAAUAUGGGACAAUGGGCGAAAGCCUGAUCCAGCAACGCCGCGUGAGGGAUGACGGCCUUCGGGUUGUAAACCUCUUUCAGCAGGGACGAAGCGCAAGUGACGGUACCUGCAGAAGAAGCACCGGCCAACUACGU